Molecule: long non-coding RNA, 1138 nt
Organism: Hemicordylus capensis (graceful crag lizard)
Lineage: Eukaryota; Metazoa; Chordata; Lepidosauria; Squamata; Cordylidae
Exons: 4
Source: RefSeq, a predicted model, not a curated record
GGAGCCCUUUAGAACUGCACAGGUUCAGUGAAGCCUUCUCUCGUUAAAAGGGUUUUUUGCUUCCCUUCCGUUCACACCUGUGGCUGUGAAGUUCAGGCCUAUUCUGGAAGGACUAGUUAAGUGGUCCUGCUUUUCUGGGGACCCUGAACAACUUGGCUCAGGCCACCAACAGCUUCCUGUGUGAUACUGCAGAAGCCUGCUGAGAUCUUCCCUUGUUCGGGAUAAUCCUUCUCCUCUGACAGUCGGCUGAUAAUUAACUCCCCGCUUUUUGCCCAAGCAAGGCCUGUUGUGACCCAAUAAUCCCGAAGGCAGUGAAGGCUCCAGGAUUUCAGACCGCUUGAGACACACUGUGAAUUCCUCCUGCAGGUGCUAUCAGUUAAUGCCUUCAUUAAACAUCAGGAUCAAAGCGACCCACAGAUGGUGUGUGAUGGAAUGGGAGUCUGUGGAGCCCCAUAAUGUUAACCACCACCAGCGCUCACAAUUUCAAAAAGUUUUGGCUUUGGGGGCACCAGCUAAGCAUGGAAGAUGGAGAACUGCCUAUGCAUGGACUGGAAGCAGGAGGAGGGCGUCAUUCAGCUCAAACCACUUUCCAGAAGUUGGACUCCACCCAGGCACCUUUCCCCACACAUUUUAAAGCAGCAUCAACCUCUGCAAAGAACUCUGUCAAGGGCUCCAAGUGUACGGCUCGACUAGGAAUUUGCUAGUGAUUGCUCAGCAACAUGACUAAGAGAAGAUGGCAAGGAUAAAGUAUCCCCCUUCAAGUAUGGCCUGGUUCACACAAUUGUUCGGAUCUAGGUUCAAUGUGGGUUAUCCGCAUUAGCAUGUUUGCAUGAACUCAUGCCAAAGUGGGAAUCUCAGAUUCGUCUCAGGCCAAAAAACACCCUGGCACGAGUUCACACAAUCACGCUGAUGUUGGUAACCUACAUUAACUAGAUUCAGAUGACUGUGUGGACCACCCCUGCUUGUAGCUGGGAGCCCACUCUGAAGCCAAGUUUAUAUAUUUGGUUAUUGCUGGGAGCCCAUGUUGAAGCCAAGUUUGUUUAUUUAAUUUGUACACUGCCCCAAAUUUGUGUCUCAGGGCAGUUCACGACAACAUAAAUUAAAACAAGAAUUAAAACAUUAAAAGUUUCAACCACAA